UACGGAGGAUGCAAGCGUUAUCCGGAAUGAUUGGGCGUAAAGCGUCCGCAGGUGGCUGUGUAAGUCCGCUGUCAAAGAGCAAAGCUCAACUUUGUAAAGGCAGUGGAAACUACACGGCUAGAGUGCGUUCGGGGCAGAGGGAAUUCCUGGUGUAGCGGUGAAAUGCGUAGAGAUCAGGAAGAACACCGGUGGCGAAGGCGCUCUGCUAGGCCGCAACUGACACUGAGGGACGAAAGCUAGGGGAGCGAAUGGG
RNAcentral lists this ribosomal RNA (253 nucleotides) under uncultured bacterium. RNAcentral describes it as "partial 16S ribosomal RNA". It matches the Rfam family "Bacterial small subunit ribosomal RNA", at positions 524 to 776 of the family's 1533-position model. The record is from RNAcentral.